This 232-nucleotide ribosomal RNA is filed under the name uncultured bacterium. Its description in RNAcentral is "partial 16S ribosomal RNA". It matches the Rfam family "Bacterial small subunit ribosomal RNA", at positions 99 to 334 of the family's 1533-position model. The record is from RNAcentral.
CGGACGGGUGAGUAAUGUCUGGGAAACUGCCCGAUGGAGGGGGAUAACUACUGGAAACGGUAGCUAAUACCGCAUAACGUCGCAAGACCAAAGAGGGGGACCUUCGGGCCUCUUGCCAUCGGAUGUGCCCAGAUGGGAUUAGCUAGUAGGUGGGGUAACGGCUCACCUAGGCGACGAUCCCUAGCUGGUCUGAGAGGAUGACCAGCCACACUGGAACUGAGACACAGUCCAG